GUAAUUAUUGAGAUGGACUGAUCAGUAAGUGGGUACCAAAUUCAAUUUUGCUUAUGACCUUAUUCAAUCUGGCGUGAUCAAAAUAAAAUGCUGUGCGGUUUGUUGCCUCUUACGUGACCUGCGUGUAAAUGUCUUUCAAGACUCGGAGCGUGAUAGUUUUAACACUGCGUUCGAGGUCGCAGGGAGACAAGCCCUUACGUUGAUACAGGUAACCGAGGCGUGGCCAGGCGCACAGGUGGAAAAAAAAAAAAGCAAGCUCAUCACCUGGCAGCCGCUAUUUCUCUUCCCGUCCUGCACUGCAGCGCUGUGCUCCGGUUAUGGCCUCGAGUGGCGUGGGGAAGUGCUUGCUGUUCUUCUUCCUCGCCCUGGCGUUCGACGCCGGCGGCCUGGCGAUGCUCCUCGUCGGCAUUUUCGGCAACCUGACCGCAGRCGGCCGCUUCUACGGGGACUUCCUCAUCUACACGGGCUCCGUCAUUAUUUUCUUCAGCCUGAUGUGGUGGGUGUUGUGGUACACGGGGAACGUGCACCUGUACGCGCCGGGAUACAGGAGGGACUCUCUGGACGCCAGCCUCACGCAGUGGGCCAGGAAGUUGUCCGAGAGGUUCUCCAAGGGCGGCGGCGGCAAGAAGCCCCUGGAAGCGGCGGAGGAUGAGCAGGAGAUGAAGAAAAAGGAGAUGGGUGGAGAGGUGGUGGAGGCGAAGGGGGCCGUGCUCUUCUCUGCGCCGCCUCKGAUUGCAUGGGAAGCCGGCGGCGGAGGUCAGGAUAACGGGGGCUUUGACGGAUGGAGCGAGUGCGCAUCUCCGGCUGAUAAAAACGUGGAGCUGGGGGUCCUGACGGUGGCGGAGGCGGCUCUGCAGGCGGGAGACGCUAAAGCAGAGAGGCUCCUCUGACAGCAUGUUGAGAGAUCUUCAGUGACCCAUGGCAGUUUUUAAUUAAUGAGCCUGACCGUUUGUGCUCACCUUCACACUUCAGCGGUAUUUUAGCCGUCAGUUUGCUUAUGGUGGUGUUGGUGCUCCUGGACAUGAGCUACUUCCUGUUUUUGUUGGGAUUUUUUUUCCUUCUCCCCUGAGAUUUCAACAGACUUUAACAUUUAAACUUGUGAGCAAAAGCCACGUUUAUGAGAACAUCUUGCUUGGUGUAAAGCUCUCUAAAAUAAGAAAAGCCACACGGUGAAGAAAAUGUGCAUUUCAUUUUUAUGUUUUCUGUGUAACUAUAUGUAUAUUUGUGUCUAAAUUAUUUUUGGGAAUAAAGUGCAAAGAUAUUUAAA
Poecilia reticulata (guppy) is the source of this 1267-nucleotide non-coding RNA. Lineage: Eukaryota; Metazoa; Chordata; Actinopteri; Cyprinodontiformes; Poeciliidae. The record is from RefSeq and is a predicted model, not a curated record.